GACGUCAGCGACUGCGGAGGACAUUA
RNAcentral lists this ribosomal RNA (26 nucleotides) under Neooccultibambusa pandanicola. RNAcentral's name for it is "partial 18S small subunit ribosomal RNA". Lineage: Eukaryota; Fungi; Ascomycota; Dothideomycetes; Pleosporales; Occultibambusaceae. The record is from RNAcentral.